AUUGAACGCUGGCGGCAGGCCUAACACAUGCAAGUCGAACGGUAACAGGAAGCAGCUUGCUGCUUCGCUGACGAGUGGCGGACGGGUGAGUAAUGUCUGGAAGGUGGCUGAAGGAAGGGGAUAAAUACCGGAAAAGGGAGCCAAAAACGGAUAAUGGCGCAAGACCAAAGAGGGGGGACUUCGGGCCUCUUGGCAUCGGAUGUGGCCAGAUGGGAUUAGCUUGUUGGUGGGGUAACGGCUCACCAAGGCGACGAUCCCUAGCUGGUCUGAGAGGAUGACCAGCCACACUGGGACUGAGACACGGUCCAGACUCCUACGGGAGGCAGCAGUGGGGAAUAUUGCACAAUGGGCGCAAGCCUGAUGCAGCCAUGCCGCGUGUAUGAAGAAGGCCUUCGGGUUGUAAAGUACUUUCAGCGGGGAGGAAGGGAGUAAAGUUAAUACCUUUGCUCAUUGACGUUACCCGCAGAAGAAGCACCGGCUAACUCCGUG
This 489-nucleotide ribosomal RNA is filed under the name uncultured bacterium. RNAcentral's name for it is "partial 16S ribosomal RNA". It matches the Rfam family "Bacterial small subunit ribosomal RNA", at positions 29 to 507 of the family's 1533-position model. The record is from RNAcentral.